CAGCCGCCGCGGGAAAACGUAGGGUGCGAGCGUUAAUCGGAAUUACUGGGCGUAAAGCGUGCGCAGGCGGUUCGUUAAGACAGAUGUGAAAUCCCCGGGCUUAACCUGGGAACUGCAUUUGUGACUGGCGAGCUAGAGUACGGCAGAGGGGGAUGGAAUUCCGCGUGUAGCAGUGAAAUGCGUAGAUAUGCGGAGGAACACCGAUGGCGAAGGCAAUCCCCUGGGCCUGUACUGACGCUCAUGCACGAAAGCGUGGGGAGCAAACAGGAUUAGAUACCCCCGUAGUCCCUGUCUCUUAUAA
Molecule: ribosomal RNA, 301 nt
Filed under: uncultured bacterium
Lineage: Bacteria
Description: partial 16S ribosomal RNA
Rfam family: Bacterial small subunit ribosomal RNA
Source: RNAcentral